CUUUUUGGUUUGAUGAAAAGUCGUACCUGCCCACUGAUAUUAAUUGAAGGGCCGCGGUAUUUUGACCGUGCAAAGGUAGCAUAAUCAUUAGUCUUUUAAUUGGGGACUGGGAUGAAUGGUUUGACGAAACAUUAACUGUCUUAAGAAUAUAAUUUUGAAUUUAACUUUUAAGUUAAAAGGCUUAAAUAUUGAACAGGGACGAGAAGACCCUAUAGAUCUUUAUUUUUGGUUGUGGGAUAUAAAUUUUGGUUGUUGUAUUUGAUUUUAUAAUUAAGUAUUUUGUUGGGGUGACAGAAGAAGAGAAAAACUUCUUUUUUAUUAGACUUGAAUUUAAGGGUGUUGGAUCCUUUUUUAUGGAUUGAAGAUUAAGGUACCUUAGGGAUAACAGCGUAAUUUUGUUUGAGAGUUCUUAUCGACAAUGAAGAUUGCGACCUCGAUGUUGGAUUAAGAUUAUAUAUUGGUGAAGAAGUUAGUAUUGUUAGUCUGUUC
This 489-nucleotide ribosomal RNA is filed under the name Lernecella minuta. RNAcentral's name for it is "partial 16S ribosomal RNA". It matches the Rfam family "Bacterial large subunit ribosomal RNA", at positions 1833 to 2582 of the family's 2925-position model. The record is from RNAcentral. Lineage: Eukaryota; Metazoa; Arthropoda; Insecta; Orthoptera; Phalangopsidae.